AGCAGUGGGGAAUUUUGGACAAUGGGCGAAAGCCUGAUCCAGCAAUGCCGCGUGAGUGAAGAAGGCCUUCGGGUUGUAAAGCUCUUUUGUCAGGGAAGAAACGGUGAGAGCUAAUAUCUCUUGCUAAUGACGGUACCUGAAGAAUAAGCACCGGCUAACUACGUGCCAGCAGCCGCGGUAAUACGUAGGGUGCAAGCGUUAAUCGGAAUUACUGGGCGUAAAGCGUGCGCAGGCGGUUUUGUAAGUCUGAUGUGAAAUCCCCGGGCUCAACCUGGGAAUUGCAUUGGAGACUGCAAGGCUAGAAUCUGGCAGAGGGGGGUAGAAUUCCACGUGUAGCAGUGAAAUGCGUAGAUAUGUGGAGGAACACCGAUGGCGAAGCAGCCCCUGGGUCAAGAUUGACGCUCAUG
This 407-nucleotide ribosomal RNA is filed under the name uncultured bacterium. RNAcentral's name for it is "bacterial SSU rRNA". It matches the Rfam family "Bacterial small subunit ribosomal RNA", at positions 350 to 751 of the family's 1533-position model. The record is from RNAcentral.